AUCUCAUCCUCUUCUCUCAUGGUUGAAAAAUAUUCUUAAGUUCAAUACAGAGUUUAGUAUAUCACCGGAGCAAAUGAUAGAUGAAUCUUUCAUUUAAAAUCGGUCUUGGAAUCGACUGUGAAUGCAGCUAAUGAGUCAAAGGUUUGAGUGCAUCGAGGUCCAAGGAUGAACAAGGAAGAAAAUCACUGCUCACUGGUAUGUCUUAUGAAUUCUUGUGAUGGGGAGUUAGCUUUGACAGGAUGGGGUACCUUGGACUGUGAUGUUGUAGUAAUCUUUCCUACACUGAAGCAUGUUUUUUCUCUUUGCAUAUAGGUAAGCAUACUAGUUGAUAUUUUCUUUUAAUUAGUGUUCAUUAUCUGAAUGUCAGCUGCCAUUACAGGACGUUAAUUUUCUUCUUAGUGAUUUUGCUUGAACUUUGUUGUUCCUAUAUUCACUGUUGAGAUACAAGUCCUGUUGUCUACUAUGCUCUACAACAGUACAUUUCAAAAUCAUUUUCAACUCUAAGCUGGUUUCUCAUAGCAUAACAAGAACAUGCAGCUAUGAAACAUCUGUUGAUCGACAAACUGCACAAGGAGAUAAGUGUACAUCAAUCCUUACCUUUGUUUAGCUUAUAAUGCUUGUUUUUGAAUGAAAAUUGUACUCAAUUGCAAUGACAUGAUGUAGAUUAUCUUUUAAACUUGAGCUUGAUUUCUAUGAACUAUUAAGUGUCAUUUGAUCUCUUCUUUACGGUUGCAGUACUUCUGAAAUUAGGACUUGCAUUUUAAGAGCAUAAAUAUUUAUCAAUUCCCCAAACUUAUUCAUGUAGUUCAUUGCAGGUACUGCUUUGCUUAAAGUGGGUAGAAGAAUGGUAUACUCAACCUUUGAUAUUCUGAUAUCUAUGGUUGUUAUUCAUGUACACUUCUAGAUAGAGAUUCCUGGAUGAUUAAUGUAGCGAUAUAACUGAUACUAUUGUGUAUGAGGUAUAUAACGUCAUUUAAUUGACAUUUGUAUAGCAGGUCCGUGAUAAGGGUGUAGGGUUAUCUUUUUACAAAGAUGUGUCUACGUACCGUAGAACUGCCACUGCGACUAAGCAUCUUCUGGUUAAAUCUCUGGUGCCGAGACAAUGGUUCCUUCAGGUUUAGAUGAAAAUGUAGUUCCUCCUGUAAAUGACAAUCAGAUGGAGAAUGUGGAGGAGAAACGUCAAAAUGUCUGUAAUGCAGUUUCUAAUCAUGUCACCGAGAAGUGUAAGAUCACUGCGAGUCCAACUGGUACUUCGGAAAUGGAAGUUUCAGAUCUUCGUCUAGAACGUUGGAUGAGGAUAGUGCCUUAUUAUCAGAACACUGACGCUUUUUUCAUUAGUGUUCUUCAGAAAGUAUCCCAUGUUUCAGGUAAGCUCUUCAUUUUAAACCCCAAGGUCAAGACAUGACUACAAUGUGUCGUGUUGAUCUCACCUGGUCGCACGGCUUUCGCUUUUUUCAACAUCUAUUCCACUGCAGAUCUUUGCCUAUGCAGUAUCCCCCCUAAUUACACCGACACCCCCUGGUAGUGGAAACUUGAUGCAUUGAUGAUAAGUAGAUGCUACUCCCACAAUGUUAUGUAACCAAGGUAUGCCUAUCAAAGCAUUAUAAGGAGACUCCACAUCAACAACGCAAAAUGUGAUUUCGGUGGUUAUGGUUUUGAGGGGGAUCCGCAUGGUGACUUCCCCUUUUGGUUUGUUAGCUGACCCACUAAACCCAUAAAUUUUAUAUGUUGAUGGGAUGAGAUCUUCAUCUUUACCGCCCAUGGUCUUGUACGCAUGAUAAAACAGAAUAUCUACUGACCUG
Long non-coding RNA from Papaver somniferum (opium poppy), 1802 nucleotides. RefSeq lists it as uncharacterized. NCBI's taxonomy places the organism in Eukaryota, Viridiplantae, Streptophyta, Magnoliopsida, Ranunculales, Papaveraceae. The transcript is spliced from 3 exons. The record is from RefSeq and is a predicted model, not a curated record.